This is a long non-coding RNA of Episyrphus balteatus (marmalade hoverfly), 368 nucleotides long. RefSeq lists it as uncharacterized. The record is from RefSeq and is a predicted model, not a curated record. NCBI's taxonomy places the organism in Eukaryota, Metazoa, Arthropoda, Insecta, Diptera, Syrphidae. The transcript has 2 exons.
GCAAGAAAACUGAGUUCAACAAAGAAACUCCGACCUCAGACCGCGAAAAUCGGGGUUGCACUCACACACUUGCAACUUUUUGUGUAUGAACACAAAAGUCGAACGAGAAUCGUGGUGAAAAAUGAGAAAAGGAAAAGAAAGACAAGGCCAACAAGAGCCAAAGCGUCAUUUUGUUAUUUUUUGUUGAAGUGUUUGGUCGCGUCGUGUCUCGUGUCGUUGUUUGUAUAAUGUUAGAUUAUUAACUAUAAACAAUUAUAUUAAAUUUAUAAACAAUAUGGAAAACAAAAAAGAUGUAAUCUCUAAUGAUGAAGAAAAAUCCAGAAGGUGAAACAUGCGAUUGGGUAUCUAAAAAAAAAAAACACCAACAA